Molecule: long non-coding RNA, 281 nt
Filed under: Vombatus ursinus (common wombat)
Lineage: Eukaryota; Metazoa; Chordata; Mammalia; Diprotodontia; Vombatidae
Description: lncRNA (ENSVURG00010022185.1)
Source: RNAcentral
CCCCAGGGAGCCCUUGGCUCUGACACCGAAACAACCUCGGAGCGCACUCCUUUCUUGGCCAACCCUCUGUCAGGAGUCUCCGUCAGACUCAUGUCACAGAAGCCGGCUGGCGGCCCCCCAGGCGAAGAGGAAGUUGACUGGUGCUUGUAUCAGCUCAAUGGGACAGCGGAGUUUGAAGUCUCCGAAGCUCGUCCUCGAUCUGCUUUCCUCCUCUGCCAGGCUAAACUUUGAGAAAAAAUAGCUCAUCUCUGCUGCUUCUACUUCCUCACUGCCCACUCAUU